Molecule: long non-coding RNA, 695 nt
Filed under: Mytilus galloprovincialis (Mediterranean mussel)
Lineage: Eukaryota; Metazoa; Mollusca; Bivalvia; Mytilida; Mytilidae
Source: RNAcentral
UGUGUUAUUGUUUAUAUUGGUUUUUUUCUUUUUAUUUGUUGACCGUACAUGGGAAGGAAAAUAAUACCUGACGAUUGGACAAAACGCACAAUAAUAAAGUUAGCCAAGAAAGGAGCUCAAAGUGAUUGUAACAACUGGCGAGGUAUAACUUUAUUGUCAAUCCCAAGUAAAAUCAUAGCCAAAAUUAUUAUCCAAAGAAUAAUAAAUGCAGUUGAUAAACAGCUAAAAAAAAGAGCAAGCGGGAUUCCGUAAAGGUAGAGGGUGCAUUGAUCAAAUCUUUGCUUUACGUAACAUCAUCGAACAAUGUACAGAAUGGCAAAGACAGCUCUACAUCAACUUUUUGGAUUUUCAGAAGGCUUUUGACAGUAUCAACCGAAAGACCUUGUGGCGAAUACUCAGAUCAUAUGGAAUUCCAAAAGAAAUAAUUGAGCUCAUAAAAAGUUUCUACAACAAUUUCACAUGCAGUGCAGGGCAAAAUAACAUCUGGUUUGAUGUAUUUUCAAUGUCGUCAUUGACUGGGUAAUGAGAAAAAACAACGGAAGAUGCUCCAAGAGGAAUAAGAUGGAACAUUUCAUCAACAUUGGAGAUCUUGAUUUUGCUGAUGAUCUUGCUCUUUUAUCGCAUACCCACCACCAUUUACAAGAGAAGACAAACCGCCUAAAUACUUAUGCUAGUCAAGUUGGACUUAAAAUCAG